Molecule: non-coding RNA, 109 nt
Organism: Batrachochytrium salamandrivorans
Lineage: Eukaryota; Fungi; Chytridiomycota; Chytridiomycetes; Rhizophydiales
Source: Rfam
GAACGCAGCGAAAUGCGAUACGUAAUGUGAAUUGCAGAACUCAGUGAAUCAUCGAAUCUUUGAACGCACAUUGCACUCUACUUUGUAGAGUAUGCCUGUUUGAGAAUCA